This 421-nucleotide unclassified non-coding RNA is filed under the name fungal sp. Its description in RNAcentral is "partial internal transcribed spacer region". The stretch from base 1 to 46 matches the Rfam family "Eukaryotic small subunit ribosomal RNA", at positions 1786 to 1831 of the family's 1831-position model. The record is from RNAcentral. Lineage: Eukaryota; Fungi.
AAGUCGUAACAAGGUUUCCGUAGGUGAACCUGCGGAAGGAUCAUUAACAAAUUUGCUGUAAACCCACGGUGUACUUGGCCAAGUGGAUGUGCAGGUCGUGCUGAUUGGGUUUAAUUCAUCAACUUGGUUAAUUUCAGGUGAGAUUGGGUUACUCAGUGAACACCUACUUGUAAGGAAACAAGGCGGGUAUGCUUGCAAAAACCUGUGUCUCUAGAGAUUAAUUUCUUCAGAGUCGCAUAACAAACAAGUAACCUGGGGUACUUUAAGGUGGAGUGCUUUACUGUGCUUUGUCUUAGAGCCCUUCUAAUAAUCCCUAUUUUACCAUUUUACCCCUUGAUAAACUAUAAGACUGAUAUGACAUGAUAAAUGUCAAACACUUAAAACUAUAAAACAACUCUUAACAAUGGAUAUCUAGGCUCUG